Molecule: ribosomal RNA, 254 nt
Filed under: uncultured bacterium
Lineage: Bacteria
Description: partial 16S ribosomal RNA
Rfam family: Bacterial small subunit ribosomal RNA
Source: RNAcentral
UACGUAGGGUGCAAGCGUUGUCCGGAAUUAUUGGGCGUAAAGAGCUCGUAGGCGGUUUGUCGCGUCGAAUGUGAAAUCCCGGGGCUCAACCCCGGGCCUGCAUUCGAUACGGGCAUCACUGGAGUUCGGCAGGGGAGACUGGAAUUCCUGGUGUAGCGGUGAAAUGCGCAGAUAUCAGGAGGAACACCGGUGGCGAAGGCGGGUCUCUGGGCCGAUACUGACGCUGAGGAGCGAAAGCGUGGGGAGCGAACAGG